Molecule: ribosomal RNA, 490 nt
Filed under: uncultured bacterium
Lineage: Bacteria
Description: partial 16S ribosomal RNA
Rfam family: Bacterial small subunit ribosomal RNA
Source: RNAcentral
AUUGAACGCUGGCGGCAGGCCUAACACAUGCAAGUCGAACGGUAACAGGAAACUGCUUGCUGUUUCGCUGACGAGAGGCGGAAGGGUGAGAAAUGUAUGGGAAACUGACUGAUGGAGGGGGAUAACUACUGGAAACGGUAGCUAAUACCGCCUAACGUCGCAAGACCAAAGAGGGGGACCUUCGGGCCUAUUGCCAUCGGAUGUGCCCAGAUGGGAUUAGCUAGUAGGUGGGGUAACGGCUCACCUAGGCGACGAUCCCUAGCUGGUCUGAGAGGAUGACCAGCCACACUGGAACUGAGACACGGCCCAGACUCCUACGGGAGGCAGCAGUGGGGAAUAUUGCACAAUGGGCGCAAGCCUGAUGCAGCCAUGCCGCGUGUAUGAAGAAGGCCUUCGGGUUGUAAAGUACUUUCAGCGGGGAGGAAGGGAGUAAAGUUAAUACCUUUACUCAUUGACGUUACCCGCAGAAGAAGCACCGGCUAACUCCGUG